CAGAUAGUAGUUUAUAAAAUAUUGACUUUGGGUGUCAAAGAUCGAAUAACUUCGUUAUCUGA
This 62-nucleotide transfer RNA is filed under the name Drawida ghilarovi. Its description in RNAcentral is "tRNA-Pro". Lineage: Eukaryota; Metazoa; Annelida; Clitellata; Moniligastrida; Moniligastridae. The record is from RNAcentral.